AGCAGCCGCGGUAAUUCCAGCUCCAAUAGCGUAUAUUAAAGUUGCUGCAGUUAAAAAGCUCGUAGUUGAAUUUCGGGACUAAUAUGUCGGUCGUGCCUCGGUACGUACUGGUUUAUUGGUUUCUCCUUUCUGAAGAACCAUGAUGUCAUUUAUUUGGUGUCGUGGGGAAUCAGGACUGUUACUUUGAAAAAAUUAGAGUGUUUAAAGCAGGCUCACGCUUGAAUACAUUAGCAUGGGAUAAUGAAAUAGGACGUUUGAUUCUAUUUUGUUGGUUUCUAGGAUCGACGUAAUGAUUAAUAGGGAUAGUUGGGGGCAUUAGUAUUCAAUUGUCAGAGGUGAAAUUCUUGGAUUUAUUGAAGACUAACUACUGCGAAAGCAUUUGCCAAGGAUGUUUUCAUUAAUCAAGAACGAAAGUUAGGGGAUCGAAGACGAUCAGAUACCGUCGUAGUCUUAACCAUAAACUAUGCCGACUAGGGAUCGGAUGAUGUUAAUUUUUUAAUGACUCAUUCGGCGCCUUACG
RNAcentral lists this unclassified non-coding RNA (520 nucleotides) under uncultured Glomus. RNAcentral describes it as "SSU rRNA". It matches the Rfam family "Eukaryotic small subunit ribosomal RNA", at positions 569 to 1092 of the family's 1831-position model. Lineage: Eukaryota; Fungi; Glomeromycota; Glomeromycetes; Glomerales; Glomeraceae. The record is from RNAcentral.